This 488-nucleotide ribosomal RNA is filed under the name uncultured bacterium. RNAcentral's name for it is "partial 16S ribosomal RNA". It matches the Rfam family "Bacterial small subunit ribosomal RNA", at positions 28 to 523 of the family's 1533-position model. The record is from RNAcentral.
GACGAACGCUGGCGGCGUGCCUAACACAUGCAAGUCGAGCGGAGUUACAUGAGGAGUAAUCUGAGUGUAACUGAGCGGCGGACGGGUGAGUAACGCGUGAGCAACCUGCCUUUUACAGGGGAAUAACGCACCGAAAGGUGCACUAAUACCGCAUGAGACCACAUCCUCGCAUGGGGGAGGGGUCAAAGGAGCAAUCCGGUAGAAGAUGGGCUCGCGUCCGAUUAGGUAGUUGGUGGGGUAACGGCUCACCAAGCCUGAGAUCGGUAGCCGACCUGGGAGGGGGGUCGGCCACACUGGAACUGAGAGACGGUCCAGACGCCUACGGGAGGCAGCAGUGGGGAAUAUUGGGCAAUGGGGGAAACCCUGACCCAGCAACGCCGCGUGAGGGAAGAAGGUUUUCGGAUUGUAAACCUCUGUUCUUGGAGAAGAGAAGAAGACGGUAUCCAAGGAGGAAGCCCCGGCUAACUACGUGCCAGCCGCGGCGGUAA